This 1007-nucleotide long non-coding RNA is filed under the name Venturia canescens. RNAcentral's name for it is "uncharacterized LOC122407680, transcript variant X1". The record is from RNAcentral. Lineage: Eukaryota; Metazoa; Arthropoda; Insecta; Hymenoptera; Ichneumonidae.
AUUAAGCAAGGCUAAAAAAAUGAGUACCAGCACAGCCGUUUUGGAGCACUGUGAAAAUUCCAUAGAUCGACUAGUAUCGUCUUAGCGAAAACUAGGAGUAACGCAAAUUCAGACAUUCUCAACGGUCCAGAUCGACGAUAACAUGCGUCAGAAAACAAAACAAUUGUGCUACGGUAUGAUUUACGGUAUGGGGACGAGGACUCUUGCGGAAACUAUUGCUAUUACCGAACGAGAAGCUAAGAUAGUUUUGGAAUCAUUCAUGGGCGCUUUUAUCCAGAAAUCUGUCAAUGGCUAACUCGAGUGAUUGAGCAAACUUGUACCGACGGUUACGUAACAACUUUGAUGUCACGUCGCAGAUUUCUUCCGGCGCUCAAAAAAGAAAAAUCCAGUAAAAGAUGCGCCAGCAUUUCUAUGGAGGAAAUGUCAGUAAAUCAAGUUGAGGCUAAAGAGAAUCAGCUUUGAUUUGUAGCAGCGGCUUCCAUGGUGAAGGCCAAGAACUACAUACAAAGCGGUAUAUUGAACAAUUUUUUCCAUCCAGCGGAACAAUCAUCCUGAGCGCUGCAAUUUGGACACUCAGGUGAAUCAAGCCAUCACUAAAAUGUCAAGAAUAUCUUUUGGAAAAGGCAAUAGUUUUCAAACAAAUAUAAUAUUCUACUUUUUAUUCUUUUUCUUCGAAAAGAAAAAAAAUUGAUAUCCAAAAUACGCAAGCAUGUUUACAGAUGAAAUCGCAGUGGAUGAAUUUGAUGCUGAAGAGAAUUCAACUUUGAUUGCAGCAGCGGCUUUCAUGGUAUAAAAGCGAAGAACUCGAAAGUGGUGGAUUGAACAAUUUUUCCUAUCCAGCAGAACAAAUCAAUCCUGAGUGCUGCAAUUUUAAACCCUCAAGUGAAUCAAGUCUUCGUUAGAAUGUUCAAAAGAAAUUUUGGAAAAGGUAAAAGUGAAAAAAAUAAAGUGCGUAUGAAGAAAUUUGUAGGAAAAAGGAAUCGGAAAUAGCACCGGUCUUGAACAGU